AACGCACAUUGCACCUUUUGGUAUUCCGAAAGGUAUGCUUGUUCGAGCGUCGUUUAAACAAUAUCAAUUUAGUUAUUGAAUGUAUUGAGUGCUUUUUUCUCUGAUCUUUUUCAGAGACACUCCAAAACGAUUGAGCGAUCUUAACUAGAUUUAACUGACGCAUUAAUUAUUUUAUCGUCUGAAGAAAGAAGUUAUUGAUCCGCCAAAUAAAAACUUUCUUUUUGCAGUUUUGUAAAAAGAAAAACCCAUUUUUUAUUAUCGACCUCGAAUCAAGUAGGAUUACCCGCUGAACUUAA
Molecule: unclassified non-coding RNA, 296 nt
Filed under: Icmadophila sp.
Lineage: Eukaryota; Fungi; Ascomycota; Lecanoromycetes; Pertusariales; Icmadophilaceae
Also listed under: 2 other names
Description: partial contains 5.8S ribosomal RNA, internal transcribed spacer 2, and large subunit ribosomal RNA
Source: RNAcentral